AGUCGAGCGGACCGACGGGAGCUUGCUCCCUUAGGUCAGCGGCGGACGGGUGAGAAGGGUGGGGUGACCUGCCUGUAAGACUGGGAUAACUCCGGGAAACCGGGGCUAAUACCGGAUGCUUGAUUGAACCGCAUGGUUCAAUUAUAAAAGGUGGCUUUUAGCUACCACUUACAGAUGGACCCGCGGCGCAUUAGCUAGUUGGUGAGGUAACGGCUCACCAAGGCAACGAUGCGUAGCCGACCUGAGAGGGUGAUCGGCCACACUGGGACUGAGACACGGCCCAGACUCCUACGGGAGGCAGCAGUAGGGAAUCUUCCGCAAUGGACGAAAGUCUGACGGAGCAACGCCGCGUGAGUGAUGAAGGUUUUCGGAUCGUAAAACUCUGUUGUUAGGGAAGAACAAGUACCGUUCGAAUAGGGCGGUACCUUGUUUUGUAUCUAACCAGAAAGCCACGGCUAACUACGUGCCAGCAGCCGCGGUAAUACGUAGGUGGCAAGCGUUGUCCGGAAUUAUUGGGCGUAAAGCGCGCGCAGGCGGUUUCUUAAGUCUGAUGUGAAAGCCCCCGGCUCAACCGGGGAGGGUCAUUGGAAACUGGGGAACUUGAGUGCAGAAGAGGAGAGUGGAAUUCCACGUGUAGCGGUGAAAUGCGUAGAGAUGUGGAGGAACACCAGUGGCGAAGGCGACUCUCUGGUCUGUAACUGA
Molecule: ribosomal RNA, 702 nt
Filed under: Bacillus sonorensis
Lineage: Bacteria; Bacillati; Bacillota; Bacilli; Caryophanales; Bacillaceae
Description: bacterial SSU rRNA
Rfam family: Bacterial small subunit ribosomal RNA
Source: RNAcentral